GAUGAACGCUAGCUACAGGCUUAACACAUGCAAGUCGAGGGGAAACGAUAUUGGAAGCUUGCUUCCGAUAGGCGUCGACCGGCGCACGGGUGAGUAACGCGUAUCCAACCUGCCCACCACUUGGGGAUAACCUUGCGAAAGUAAGACUAAUACCCAAUGAUAUCUCUAGAAGACAUCUGAAAGAGAUUAAAGAUUUAUCGGUGAUGGAUGGGGAUGCGUCUGAUUAGCUUGUUGGCGGGGUAACGGCCCACCAAGGCAACGAUCAGUAGGGGUUCUGAGAGGAAGGUCCCCCACAUUGGAACUGAGACACGGUCCAAACUCCUACGGGAGGCAGCAGUGAGGAAUAUUGGUCAAUGGGCAGAGCCUGAACCAGCCAAGUAGCGUGCAGGACGACGGCCCUAUGGGUUGUAAACUGCUUUAUAAGGGAAUAAAGUGAGUCUCGUGAGACUUUUUGCAUGUACCUUAUGAAUAAGGACCGGCUAAUUCCGUGCCAGCAGCCGACGG
RNAcentral lists this ribosomal RNA (504 nucleotides) under uncultured bacterium. RNAcentral's name for it is "bacterial SSU rRNA". It matches the Rfam family "Bacterial small subunit ribosomal RNA", at positions 28 to 520 of the family's 1533-position model. The record is from RNAcentral.